RNAcentral lists this ribosomal RNA (690 nucleotides) under Thalamita admete. Its description in RNAcentral is "eukaryotic LSU rRNA". It matches the Rfam family "Eukaryotic large subunit ribosomal RNA", at positions 590 to 933 of the family's 3401-position model. The record is from RNAcentral. Lineage: Eukaryota; Metazoa; Arthropoda; Malacostraca; Decapoda; Portunidae.
GCAGAGGGGCCCCUGCGGCCCCCUCUCGCGGCGUGCAAAAGGUCGGUGACCCACCCGACCCGUCUUGAAACACGGACCAAGGAGUCUAACAUGUGUGCGAGUCAUUGGGCUCACUAAACCCAGAGGCGCAAUGAAAGUGAAAGGAGGGUGCUCCUCGGAGCGCUCUCCGGGGCCGAUCCCUGACCGAGUGAGACGUGGCCGYGGCCGACCCACACCAAAGCGGGGCCGCUGAGGCGGCGCGCGGGGUGAGACCCUUUCCCCCGUUAGCGCCGUCGGCCUCGCGGGCGCCCGGCUCUCUCUCUGGUCCUCCGCCUGUACGCAGGGGGGCGCAGGCCCGGGACUUGCCACUCGACGCCGUCGCGCGAAUCUGUUGUUGGCCUCGCCGGCUCUGCUUGGGCUCUCGGUUGGCGUGCCGCGUGUCUUUGGGCGGGUCGUUGCGGGCGGGGCGGGCUCUCGCGGGCUCGUCCUUCCCCUCGGCUCGUCCGGCGCGGUUCCGCUCUCCGAUCCUGCUCUGUCCGGCGUGGCCUAGCGCGCGUGCUGUCGGCAAGUACCAUGAGCAGACAUGUUGGGACCCGAAAGAUGGUGAACUAUGCCUGGCCAGGAUGAAGCCAGAGGAAACUCUGGUGGAGGUCCGCAGCAAUUCUGACGUGCAAAUCGAUUGUCAGAGCUGGGUAUAGGGGCGAAAGACUA